UGACAUUUAAUCUCUUAAAAAAAUUGAAGAUUCAUUUUUUUCCGAAGCAGAAGAUUGAAAGUAUGUUCUUGAAUACUCAAGAAUGAAAAAAUCGACAACCCAUCAUCUUUACCAAUAGGUAUUAAUAUAAACCAAACGGGGCAAAUAUGUUGGAAUGAAGUUUCCAAUUAGCAGAAGAUUGGAAGUUCUCGGGACAUAAC
RNAcentral lists this long non-coding RNA (200 nucleotides) under Trifolium pratense (red clover). RNAcentral's name for it is "long non-coding RNA (TPRA_LNC003408)". The record is from RNAcentral. Lineage: Eukaryota; Viridiplantae; Streptophyta; Magnoliopsida; Fabales; Fabaceae.